CUAAGAAAGGUAAUCAACAAGUUUGGAAUCCAAUUCCAAGCUGAUGGUGAUCAAUUGCAGCAACAGGAUGGGAAGAAUCGAGGAAAAGAUUUGAAGAAGAAAAUGAAAAAAUCAGGAUCAAUGAAGCGUCAAGAUUUUGAAAAUUUUCGUUUGCUCAAUAUGGGAAGGCAAGAACGGAAGCCCGAAAAACCUCUGCGGCCUAUAGCAACGCCGCAGAAGCAUCCAGGCGCCGUCGCAGUAGAGAUAUCUGUUGGAAAAAUUGGCCGAAUUUGGCACGAGUUUUGAGUGGGACCCGAUUGUUCAAUUUGGAAGAUGAAAGUUGAUUUGUGUUCUCCUCCGUGAGUACAUCAAAAUCAUAUACUUACUUGCCAAAGUUGAUGCUCGGGUGAAUGAGAAAUUGAGGCUCAAAGUGUGCCACUCAAAAGGGAGUUUAUGUAGGAAAAAAUGAAUUUGUCCCACAUAGGAAAAAGAUGAGGAACUCCAAAGGUCAUUGCCAUUAAUGGUAGCCUAGCCUAUAAAUAGUGGUUCAUUUUCCUCAUUUCAACACACAACAAAAAAGCUAAAGCUUUCAAGUUGAGAAUACACUAGAAAUUCAUUUGCAUAGAGAUCUCUCUUGGUGGUGGUGUAGUUCAGGCACUAGUUCAGUUCGCCGGAGUAGUUUCUGCGGUGCUCAGAAGCUACUGGUUUUACCGUUGUAUCCUGAAAAAUGGACGUUCAUUUUAAACCUCAAGCACGGACGGUGAGGGGGUGAAUCUAUUUUAAGGAAACUGUGUGUAACACAAGCCUUGGUUUUUAGAGUUCAUGCUUCAUG
RNAcentral lists this long non-coding RNA (811 nucleotides) under Olea europaea subsp. europaea. Lineage: Eukaryota; Viridiplantae; Streptophyta; Magnoliopsida; Lamiales; Oleaceae. The record is from RNAcentral.